GUGCCAGCAGCCGCGGUAAUACCGGCAGCUCGAGUGAUGGCCAAUCUUAUUGGGCCUAAAGCGUCCGUAGCUUGCCGAGCAAGUUUGUCGGGAAAUCCAGUGGCUUAACCACUGGGCGUCCGGCGAAAACUGUUCGGCUUGGGACCGGAAGACUCGAAGAGUACGUCUGGGGUAGGAGUGAAAUCCCGUAAUCCUGGACGGACUACCGAUGGCGAAAGCACUUCGAGAGUACGGAUCCGACAGUGAGGGACGAAAGCUGGGGUCUCGAACCGGAUUAGAUACCCGAGUAGUCC
RNAcentral lists this ribosomal RNA (293 nucleotides) under uncultured bacterium. RNAcentral's name for it is "partial 16S ribosomal RNA". It matches the Rfam family "Archaeal small subunit ribosomal RNA", at positions 455 to 747 of the family's 1478-position model. The record is from RNAcentral.